Molecule: long non-coding RNA, 7858 nt
Filed under: Citrus x clementina
Lineage: Eukaryota; Viridiplantae; Streptophyta; Magnoliopsida; Sapindales; Rutaceae
Description: Citrus clementina (C. clementina) long non-coding RNA (CCLE_LNC002626)
Source: RNAcentral
UUUUGGAAGCCAAUUAAUUAAUUGAUGCACAUUGGGAAGCAUAUGGGGUUUCAUGGAGAUUAAUAAAGACUUUGGGAAUAAGCAUGUAUAAAAUGUUAGAUUAAUUUUAUAUUAAUCUAAUAUAUUUGGGGCCACACAUGAAAUAAAUAAAAUAUGUGUGCUAUUAUUUAAUAAACCAAGAAUUAAGUGAUCUAUUUGAUGUUAAUUAAAUGGUUAAGGGUAUAAUUAUUGUGGAUUAAAUGCAUAGAUAUCAGAAUUUAAUCAUCACUUUAAUGAGGGGCUGAAAUGAUAAUUAUCAUAAAUAACGUGACUGUUGGUUUUCUAAAGAAAACCAAUAGUCACUUUAUUUAUAUAAAAAAGGGGUUAUGAUCCCCAAUCUCUCAUCAUCCUCUGUAAUUCUCUAAUCCUCUCAGAGAGAAUUCUAAACUCGAGAAAAGAGAAGAUUGGAAGUCCAUCUCCUACACUCAAGAACCACUAUGAAUCAUCAUGGAUUCAGGUAUGCUUCUGCUUUCGUAUUUCUUAGUAAUUUAAUCUGGAUGUUAUGAAGAUUUAGGGGAUAACAAGUUGUAUCAGAGCCUCAUCCAUGAUUAGAUUAUUGAGUUAUUAAUUUCUGAUUAAUGGUUAUAAUCGAAUCAAACUGUUAAUGCAUGAUUCGGUUAUCGGGAAUAAUUAAAAUUAGUUUCGAUGGACUCAUGACGAAACGAAACUGGUAGAUUGAACACGUGAAAUCAUGGAUUCAAUUUCAAAAUCAUGCUUUGAUUCUCAGUUACGGUGGCCAUUAUUUUUAAUGUUUCAAUUUCAUUUUUUUUUUAGUUGCAUUGGAAUUUGAUUUUAGUUGGAAUGACCAUGCUUUAUGAUCUCGAUUGGUUAUGUUUUCAAUAAUUCGCUUUAAGUAUGUAGUGGCUUUACUUCCAUGGUUUCAAUUUUAAUGAUAUUAUUUAAUUAAUAUCAUUUUUCUUGGAAUUUUCUAAUUGUUAUGGUUAGACCACGUUUCGGUUUCGGUUCAAUAAGAUAUUAUAUUAGACCAAUUUAACAAUUUAAUUACAGUAGCCAACUAGCCAUGUUUGAUUGUUUCGGCUUAAUUAAUGAUAAUAUGUCCGUUAUUUUGGCCGUUUCUCCUUGUUUUAGUUUCAAUUUUAAUAUUGUUGAAUUCAACUUCAAUUGUAUUAAAAUUGUCAGUGGCCAUUUUGUGGCAUAUUUUUAAUUUGAUUUAAUACAUAAAGGGAUUAAAUCAAAUAGAUCAAAUCUGCUGUGGCCAUAUUUUCGACUUCAAAUUUCAAUAUUUAAUUCAAAUGAUUUACUUUGAAGUUUGUAUUAGCCACGGUUUUGGUUUUAUUAAUUAUUUCGGUUUUGGUUUUAUAAUCUUUAAAUUAAAAUGAUUUAUAACAUAAGUUAAUUAUUGGUCUCACAUUGAUGACAUGCUAAUUAAAGCAGAAAGUCACCAAGGUGAUAUCUCUUGUGUAGAUUAGUUUAUUUGGGGAGUUAAAUGUUUGUGUUUGUGUAAUUCCUGCGGAUGUUAAUCGACCCAAAGGAAGGUUAAUAUUUGGCCUAAUUGCACACACACUUGUGAUGGUAAAUUUGUGACGAUUAUUAAGAUAACUUAAUAUGAAUAAUGUACUAAUCCAAAGAUAGGUUCAUUACUUGACAUAAUUUAUUGUCAAAAUUUUAUCAUUGCAACAAGAGUACCAUUUACAGUUAGUAUUAUAGUCCAAAGACUUGUUUCUAAUGUUAUGCUAUGUAUCUUGAAUUGUUAUAAUUUGCUUUUAAAUUUUUAAAGAUUAUUAAUUGAGUUGUUUAAUGUGACCAUUAUUUAUUUAUUUAUAUUUAUUUAUUUUUGUUCUCUAUUCAACUUUUCUGUCUGCUACUUCUAUAUCUACAAAUAUGAAUAGUGUCCUGAUUCUAAAUAGGACUAAUUUUAAGGACGGAAAAGAGAAUAUGAUGAUUCUCUUAGGCUGCAUGGAUCUAGACUUAUCAUUCAGACACCCGAUCCCAGACGAACUCACUGAUGAUAGAACAUUUGAGGAGGUGUAGUACUAUGAGAAGUGGGAUCGAUCUAACAGGAUGAGUCUUAUGAUCAUGAAGCGCGGUAUUCCAGAACUAUUUAGGAGUGCUAUAACUGAUAAGGUUACAAGUGCUAGUGAGUUUCUAACCAAAAUUCAGAAACGUUUUACAAAAAAUGAUAAGGCUGAAACUAGUACGCAUUUAACAAGCUUGAUUUCAAUAAAGUAUAAAGGCAAGGGAAAUGUUCGAGAGUACAUCAUGGAGAUGUCUCAUUUUGCUUCUAAGCUUAAGGCAUUAGGGCUCGACCUAUUUGAUGAUUUGGUUGUGCAUUUGGUCCUUAUCUCUUUGCUAGCACAAUUUAAUCAGUUUAAAGUCAGUUACAACUGUCAGAAAGAGAAGUGGAAUCUCAAUGAACUGAUUUUCUUUUGCUUGCAAGAAGAAGAGAGACUGAAGCAAGAGCAAACCGAAUAUGCACAUGUGGUAAGCACUUCUAAAGAUAAGGGCAAAAGAAAGAAAAAGGGUGAAGCUGUUGCUUCUAAGGGUCCAGAGCCAAAGAAACCAAAGGCCGAACAUGGCUGAUUCAUGAAAAAUCACAGUCUUUGGAUGUGUUCAAAACGUUUAAAGCCGAAGUUGAAUUACAACUCAAUAAAAGGAUUAAAAAUGUCAGGUCUGAUCGUGGUGGUGAAUACUACGGUAGAUAUGAUGGUUCAGGUGAACAACGUCCAGGACCGUUUACUAAAUACCUCGAGGAAUGUGAAAUUAUCCCUCAAUAUACUAUGCUAGGAUCACCUAUCAUGAAUGGUGUAUCUGAGAGACGAAACCGCACCCUUAAAGAUAUGGUAAGGAGUAUGACCAGUCAUUCUACUUUACCAGAAUCACUCUGGGGUGAAGCAUUAAAAACAGCAGCUUAUAUCCUAAAUCGAGUGCCAACUAAAGCGGCUGCUAAAACACCUUAUAAGCUUUGGACGGGUCGAAAGCCUAGUCUAAAGCAUUUACAUAUUUGGGGAUGUCCAGCUGAAGCGAGGCCUUAUAAACCUCAUGAAAGGAAAUUGGAUUCCAAAACUGUAAGCAACUACUUUGUUGGCUAUGCAGAGCGAUCAAGGGGUUUUAAGUUUUAUGAUCCCAGUACAAGGUCAAUUUUUGAGACGGGAACUACUACAUUGUUUGAGGAUGUUGAGUUUGGGGGGAUAAAUCUAGUAAGAAACAUUGUCUUUAAAGAGGAAGAGGGAUCAACUGUUGCUUUUGACAAUGUACAAGUUUUAAUACUUGUCAUUGAUCAUGAAGUAAAUUCGGAUCCUCAACCAUCUGACAAUGUUGUUCAACCCCAAAAUCAACAUGAGAUGAUUGUUCCUGAAGAACAAACUCAACAACCUCAAGAGCCUGUGCAAUUAAGAUGAUCCACAAGAGAAAUGAGAAAUGUUAUUCCAGAUGAUUAUAUAGUAUUUCUUCAAGAACAUGAAGAUGAAACUGGAGUGAUGGAAGAUGACCCAAUCAACUUUCAUCAAGCCAUGCAAAGCUCUAAUUCUCAUAAAUGGAUCGAAGCCAUGAAUGAAGUGCACAAGUCAAUACAAGACAGUAAAGUUUGGGAACUUAUCUCAUUACCUUUCGGUGCGAAGCCCAUUGGUUGUAAAUAAAUAUUUAAAAUCAAAAGGGAUUCAAAUGGUAAUGUGGAAAUGUAUAAAGCACGUCUUGUAGCUAAAAGCUUUACUCAAAAAGGAAGGAAUUGACUAUAAAGAGACUAUCUCCGGUUUCUACGAAAGACUCUUUUAGGAUAAUUAUGGUACUUGUUGCAUAUUUUGAUCUUGAGUUACAUCAUAUGGAUGUUAAGACUGCUUUUUUUAAUGGUGACAUUGAGGAAACAAUUUAUAUGGUACAACUAGAAAACUUUGUGUUGGGAGACUUAAAGAAAAUGGUUUGUAAGCUAACCAAAUUCAUCUAUGAGCUCAAACAAGCUUCUCGUUAGUGGUACUUUAAGUUUCAUCAAAUAAUUAUCUUAUAUGAUUUUGAGGCAAAUGUUAUUGAUGAAUGUGUGUAUCACAAGUUCAGUGGGAGUAAACAUAUAUUCCUGGUUUUAUAUGAUGAUGACAUAUUACUUGCCUCAAAUUAUAUAGGCAUAUUGCAUGACACCAAGAGUUUUCUAUCAAAAUAUUUUGAGAUGAAAGAUCUUGGUGAUGCUAUAAUUGGCAUGUUGGGCAGAUAUUUGAGCAAUCCCGGGAUGGAUCAUUAGAAAGCAGCUAAACGUGUUAUGAGGUACUUACAGAGAACAAAGGAAUACAUGCUCACAUAUAGGAGGUCGGAUCAGUUAGAGAUCAUUGGGUAUUCCGACUCUGAUUUUGCUAGAUGCCAACACAACAAAAGAUCCACAUCAGGCUAUAUUUACCUGUUGACUGGUGGAGCAAUUUCUUAGAGAUCUGCCAAGCAGACACUUGUAGCUUCAUCGACUAUGGCAACAAAGUUUGUAGCAUGUUAUGAGGCAUCCAAUCAAGGAAUAUGGUUGCGUAAUUUUGUCACUGGGUUGCGUAUUUUAGAGGGUGUAGAAAGACCGCUCAAGAUAUUUUGUGACAAUAAGUCAGCAGUUCUAUAUUCCAACAACAACAUGAGCUUUACAAAGUCAAAAUACAUUGAAAUCAAGUUCCUUGUUGUGAAGGAAAGAGUGCAGAGUGGACAAAUAUCUAUAGAGCACAUUCGGACAAACUCCUUGAUAGCGGAUCCGCUCACUAUAGGAUUACCACCUAAAGUCUUUUAUGAGCACACUGCUCGUAUGGGUGUGAUUUUACUUAAGGAUAUUUAGAUUUAGUGGGAGUUUGUAUUGUAUAAUUACUAAGUGUGACUUUUAGAUUUUAAUUAUAUUAUUCGGAUUAUUUUUUGCAGAUAUAAAGUAUUUUAGUUCCUUACACUCUGUUAGACUAACUUAAGUUUAGAUCUCAAUAAAGUAAAUUAGGGCCAGUUGGGAAUAGACAUGUUUAGAUUACAUUGCAUGUAAUUUCCAUGCUAUGCAUCCAUAAUUGAUCUAUGUCAUGUAACUAUAUUGAUAUAUGUGACCAUGGAUGGUUGCGUUACGAUUAAUGUAAUAAAGGCCGCUAUGAUCCUAUAUUGAUGUGGUUAUUGAAUUAGAUUGUUUAGAUAUACUCUAAGGACAUAAUAGCAAUUUUAUGAGCUCGUUAAGUUAAACACAUUUCAGUUUUCAUUUGUGGCCCAGUGGGAGAUUGUUAGAUUAAUUUUAUAUUAAUCUAAUAUUUUUGGGGCCACACAUGAAAUAAAUAAAAUAUGUGUGCUAUUAUUUAAUAAACCAAGAAUUAAGUGAUCUAUUUGAAGUUAAUUAAAUGGUUAAGGGUAUAAUUGUUUUGGAUUAAAUGCAUAGAUACCAGAAUUUAAUCAUCACUUUAAUGAGGGGCUAAAGUGAUAAUUAUCAUAAAUAACGUGACUGUUGGUUUUCUAAAGAAAACCAACAGUCACAUUAUUUAUAUAAAAAGGGGUUAUGGUCCCUAAUCUCUCAUCAUCCUCUGUAAUUCUCUAAUCCUCUCAAAGAGAAUUCUAAACUCAAGAGAAAAGAGAAGAUUGGAAGUCCAUCUCCUACACUUAAGAACCACUAUGAAUCAUCAUGGAUUCAGGUAUGCUUUCGCUUUCGUAUUUCUCAGUAAUUUAAUCUGGAUGUUAUGAUGAUUUAAGGGAUAACAUAAAAUGGAAACUUGUUUAAUGUGCAUGGUUUUAUAAGUUGCAUGCAAGAUUCACGUUACCCAUUUAAAAAGAUUUCAUGCAAAAGGCUUGCCUAAACUAAAUCGUACAUGCAUGGCAUUAUAUAUGGAAAGCAAAUUGAAGAAAAAUGAAAUUGUCAAAGUGGACGACAUGUUCAUGGCAAUUAAGGGAAGCAAAUCAAUUGCUUUAAAUUAUAAAUAAAAUCCAAUAAGAAUUCAGCCAAUCAUAUGCAUUAUAAAAAGCCAAACCUUUUGUCUUUUGACAAGAGGACAGUCGGUAGCCAAGAGGAAUUUAAGAGAAGAAAAUAAAUUUGUCUGAGCAAUGAUAAGAAUUUGAUUGAAAAUGAAUAUGGUUCUUAGAAAUGGUUGAAUAUUAUCUUAGUUUAUACUUUAUUCUUAUAUUAAUUUCCUCUCAAUUGAGAUUUUUUAAACCAUAAGCACUAAUAUCAAUUCUUUCAUAAUUUUGACUUAAACUUUGAGAUUGAUACAGUCUGAGUUGAGAAUUUUAGAUUGGGUAAAUGACUAUUUGUCUUUAUUCUUAUCUCCACAAUACAGUGUAGUAUGCACAGGCACCAUAGUAAAAAAUAAUUAUCUAUAUAUAACUCUUAAUAAUGAAACUAUCCUUUAGUAAUUUGGGCUUAUGUACCACCAGUAUGUAGAGGAUAAUCUACAAUGAGAAGAAGACUACCUUAAGGGGUAGAGUGAAAGCUCCUGACUAUGGACAUAAAAAAAAAAUCGAAAGAAAAUGCACACAAAUGCUUGUGAGAGAAAAAAAAAAUAGAGAUCAAGAUGAUAAAAUUAGUUUGACCUUGUCAUGACCCAACCUAGACCUGGCAAGAUAUUGUCCGCUUUGGAGUUUAACAAGGCCUACAUGAGUUUAUUUUUGGAGUGCCCAUACAUAAAAAAACACGUCUUUCCAAUUAAGGUGUGGAUCACCCCUUAUAAACCCAGAAUCUCUCCCGUGCUAUGCCAAUGUGAGAUUUUCCUAGAGUGUUACAUACACCCCCUUAGGGACUCAGCAUUCUCGCUGAAGUUUGCCCCACCAUCGCUCGAGAGGACACGCGAAACUGCUCUGAUAUCAUAAUGUCAUGACUCAACCUAGACCUAGCAAGAUAUUGUCUUUUUUUAGCCUUAAUAAGGCCCGCACAUGUUUGAUUAUGAGAUGCCCAUACACCACAAAACACGUUUUGCCAAUUAAGGUGUGGAUAACCUCUUAUAACCUCAAUAUCUCUCCCGUGCUUUGCCAAUGUGAGAUUCGCUUAAGGUGUUACAUACAAGAGGUAAGUAACACUUUAAUUGUAAUGUAAGGACAAAAUUCCUUUCAUAAUUAACUUCAAUUUUAGCAAUUCCUUUAUCUUGUGAUGGCUACUAUGAUCUGAUUAGUUAUAAUCUAAAUUUUUAUAUGGUCGGUUAUACCACCUAAUAUAUGAUACUUUACUUAAUUAUGCUAUAGUCGACUCUACCGCCUAAUAUGUGAUACCUUACUUAAUUAUGUUGUGGUCGGUUCUACGUGUCCUCUUGAGCGAUAGUAGAACAAACCUCAUUGAGGAGACUGAGUCCCUAAGGGGGGCGUAUGUAACAACCUAGGCAAAUCCCACAUCGACAAAUCACGGGAGAAAUGCUGGGUUCAUAGAGGGUGAUCCACACCUUAAUUGGCAAGACGCAUUUUGGGGUGCCCCAUAAACAAACCCGUGCGGGCUUUUUUAAAAUCCAAAGCGGACAAUAUCUUGCCAGGUUUAGGUUGGGUAAUGACAGACCCACUCUUUUCUUUAUUCAAGACAAAGGCUGUUGAUAUUAAAGAUUUUGGAAAUGGAUUUUGAUUGAAUUGAUUCACUCACAUACUAUAAGAAUCAAAAGUGAUAUGGAAUUGACAACUGAAUUAAAGUUUGAACUUCAAUAAUAUUUGAAAUUUUCUUUGAGCUAUAUAACUUAUGCUAUCUUUUGAGGCUAGUUUUGUUUUAAAAUCUCUUGUUCUUUUUAUGCUAUGAAAAAAAAUGAAAUGAUGUUUGUGGGUAUCAUCGCUGAAGCCCUCAUGAGAUUAUAACUCAUCCACUAGGGCUGCCUAAUGGUUUAAAGCCUUGUUGCAUAUGCUAAAUGCAAUCAUGAUUUCUUACGAAAGUGGACUAAUUUAGACUUUCUUUCUAUUUUAUUUUUCUUCUACG